AUGGCAGCCACAACACUGAGGGCGCAGCUCAAUGCUCAUAUCACCGGCAUGUACACUGAUGGUGUCGUGGACGAGGACACGUUCGAGGAGCUGCGGGACGAGGGCACCGCCGUCGAGGUCUCCCGCCUCUUCAUCUACGACGCCUCCAAGAUCAUCGACGACAUCGACAUCCUGAUGGAGGAGCCCGAAGUGGACUUUGAUGAGGUGGAAGCCCUGACGCAGCAUCUCAUGCGGUGCACCUCCAGUUUGUCCACGGCAUUGAUGUUGUUCUUUAUUUGGAUGUGUCGGCACGGGGUGCGUACCUCACGACACGGCCGCACAAUUGAGGUUCGUGUCGUUCUACAGGCGCCGUAUAGCCAUAGGUAG
This 366-nucleotide ribosomal RNA is filed under the name Triticum aestivum (bread wheat). RNAcentral describes it as "partial small subunit ribosomal RNA". Lineage: Eukaryota; Viridiplantae; Streptophyta; Magnoliopsida; Poales; Poaceae. The record is from RNAcentral.